Molecule: ribosomal RNA, 238 nt
Filed under: uncultured bacterium
Lineage: Bacteria
Description: partial 16S ribosomal RNA
Rfam family: Bacterial small subunit ribosomal RNA
Source: RNAcentral
GAUCAGGCUCAGGAUGAACGCUAGCUACAGGCUUAACACAUGCAAGUCGAGGGGCAGCAUGAACUUAGCUUGCUAAGUUUGAUGGCGACCGGCGCACGGGUGAGUAACACGUAUCCAACCUUCCCGUUACUCUGGGAUAGCCUUUCGAAAGAAAGAUUAAUACUGGAUAGUAUCGAGAGAUUGCAUGAUAACCCGAUUAAAGAUUUAUCGGUAACGGAUGGGGAUGCGUUCCAUUAGA